This 103-nucleotide small nuclear RNA is filed under the name Notamacropus eugenii (tammar wallaby). Lineage: Eukaryota; Metazoa; Chordata; Mammalia; Diprotodontia; Macropodidae. The record is from RNAcentral.
UUGCUUUGGCAGCACAUAUACUAAAACGGAAACAGUACAGAGAAGACAAGCACGGCCCCUGCGCAAGGAUGACACUCAAAUUCAUGAAGCGUUCAAUAUCUUU